Molecule: long non-coding RNA, 1063 nt
Organism: Lolium rigidum
Lineage: Eukaryota; Viridiplantae; Streptophyta; Magnoliopsida; Poales; Poaceae
Exons: 5
Source: RefSeq, a predicted model, not a curated record
CCUAGUUUAAUGUUGUCUGGCUUUAUCGAGGUGCUUGUGCCAUUGGAAGAUUGAGAUUUUUUCUUGAUGUGGAUGGAGCUUACAGAUAUGUUUUGAUAGUCUUACCUGUCUCGCUGGAGUUGAAUGGUUAUUCUUGGUAGCUGCAGUACAAAAUUGAAUUAGUUAUGAUUUUUUCUUGAUGUGGAUGAAGCUUUGUGGCAAGAGAAGAGGCGAGGAGAAAUCGGUGGAAAAGAGGGAAAAGAAGAUUAAGAAGCUGCUCGACUCGAUUUUCUGGAUAUGUCAAAGUCUCUUACAUCCUUGGUACACAAGACAUGACUGAAGCAAAAUACAAUAAGUGGGAGAAGGAACCCGCACCACAUGGCUGGGAUGGUCAUCUCAUCUCGUGACUUUAUUCGUUUCAUUGGUGUCUAAGGUAGUGGAACCAGAGCAGUAUGCCUCUGAUAUGGCUUAGAGGGAGCAUUGGCCGCCAGAUCAUGCCAGGCGGCAUGCUUUUCUGAUGGGAGUAUGUGCUGAACAAUACUAAUUAGUUGUGUUAGGGCAUACAUCCAUUGGUCAGGAUUCUUGUCUGUCAUGGUUGAGCACACGAUCCGGAUAAGCACCAAGUUGAUCGAUAGCUCACACGUGAUGACGAGAAGGUGAAAAGGAAGGCAGGGCGGCCAGUGAAGCUGAAGAACGCAAAGGUGGACAUGUAAAUGCGCCUGGUGGCUAGGCAUGGUUGAGAGCAUGUUGUCGGAGCUGAAGGCGACAUGAGGCUACACCAUGUCACUGAUGGAGGUGGAGCCGGGACCAUGGCAAGGUGAGAAGAGGGUCUGAGUAGCAAGAAAGGAUGUGAUGCCUUUUCAUCUUGGCUGGUUUGUUGGAUGUUGUUGCUGGCACUGGAUGAAUUGUCAUUAUUCUUGCCGCUAAGGAGGGAGGAGCCAUUAUAUUUGUUGAUAUGAUGAUGGCGUUCCUAGCCUCAUUGUGGUUAAUACUACAUACUACAUGUAAAUUUUGCUUCUUUCUUAAAUCUUUCUUUUGUAUAGAAAUGAAGACGAAUUUGUGUACUAUAAUAUUUGGAUAUAAA